UCUAAGGAGAAGGGGAAAUCAUCAACUGUCUAUUCAAACAUGUGAUAUUUACUGAAUGAGACGGAGAUUUCGAUGGCAUGGUUGAUGAUCUACACACUACUGUCAUCAAUCAACAGACCUACAAUCAUAUUACUGUUGUUUCUAAGGAGAAGGGGAAAUCAUCAACUGUCUCUUGAAACGUGUGAUAUUUACUGAAAGAGACGGAGAUUUCGAUGGCAUGGUUGAUGAUCUACACACUACUGUCAUCAACCAACAGACCUACAAUCAUAUUACUGUUGUUUCUAAGAAGAAGGGGAAAUUAUAGACCUAAGUACGCUAUUAACUAUAGUGCCUUAUCUGCAUUGUUGAGAAAAGACUAAAUAAAUUAUAUAAUAUCAUAUAUCACAAAAACAUUCAUUCUUCAAAACAAGGCUGGUAUCACAAGACUGUCAAUCACAUCCACUUUCUGAAGGUCAAAGAGAGGGUCAGUCGGGGUCAAAUGUGUGUUUCCUUAGGUUCACGGUACAGAGGAAGGGUCACACUACCACCAGGGUCACAAAACUACCCCUGGAAAUGCCCACAACUCCUAGGAAAGCCUUGGCAAAUGUGUGUUUCCUUAGGUUCACGGUACAGAGGAAGGGUCACACUACCACCAGGGUCACAAAACUACCCCUGGAAAUGCCCACAACUCCUAGGAAAGCCUUGGCAAAUGUGUGUUUCCUUAGGUUCACGGUACAGAGGAAGGGUCACACUACCACCAGGGUCACAAAACUACCCCUGGAAAUGCCCACAACUCCUAGGAAAGCCUUGGCAAAUGUGUGUUUCCUUAGGUUCAUGGUAUCGGUACUCAAAAUUUUGGUACCGGUAAAGUAUCGGUACUCAAAAUUUUGGUACCGGUAAAGUAUCGGUACUCAAAAUUUUGGUACCGGUAAAGUAUCGGUACUCAAAAUUUUGGUACCGGUAAAGUAUCGGUACUCAAAAUUUUGGUACCGGUAAAGUAUCGGUACUCAAAAUUUUGGUACCGGUAAAGUAUUGGUACUCAAAAUUUUGGUACCGGUAAAGUAUUGGUUCCUAAUAGUC
Eriocheir sinensis (Chinese mitten crab) is the source of this 1059-nucleotide long non-coding RNA. RefSeq lists it as uncharacterized. The record is from RefSeq and is a predicted model, not a curated record. The transcript has 3 exons. NCBI's taxonomy places the organism in Eukaryota, Metazoa, Arthropoda, Malacostraca, Decapoda, Varunidae.